Long non-coding RNA from Amblyraja radiata (thorny skate), 626 nucleotides. RefSeq lists it as uncharacterized. The record is from RefSeq and is a predicted model, not a curated record. The transcript has 6 exons. NCBI's taxonomy places the organism in Eukaryota, Metazoa, Chordata, Chondrichthyes, Rajiformes, Rajidae.
CGAUCCAUAGCUGGGCCCUCGCGGUAUUCAUCAUCCAGAUAUUCUAGACUAUUUUGCUUGUGGAGACCGCAUGCUGGAGUCUUCUCGACUGGGCAACGACCUGCCAGUUUCGCUAUUGCUUUAGCUUCAUCAGGAAAAGAGAUCUGUUACUAUCUAGCCGGUAAUGGGUUAUAAAGGAUUAAGGCCUUGGCGACCGCCUCCUGUACACGAUCCAUAGGUGGGCCCUCGCGGUAUUCAUCAUCCAGAUAUUCUAGACUAUUUUGCUUGUGGAGACCGCAUGCUGGAGUCUUCUCGACUGGGCAACGACCUGCCAGUUUCGCUAUUGCUUUAGCUUCAUCAGGAAAAGAGAUAUGUUUCUAUCUAGCCGGUAAUGGGUUAUAAGGGAUUAAGGCCUUGGCGACCGCCUCCUGUACACGAUCCAUAGCUGGGCCCUCGCGGUAUUCAUCAUCCAGAUAUUCUAGACUAUUUUGAUUAAGGCCUUGGCGACCGCCUCCUGUACACGAUCCAUAGCUGGGCCCUCGCGGUAUUCAUCAUCCAGAUAUUCUAGACUAUUUUGGUAAUGUUCAAUCAAAAUUUGUCGUGUUUGUUUUGCCCAGGUUUCAGCAUUAGAGGCCAAUUUUUGUAAU